GGAACAAUAUUUUAGCUUCCAAACGUGAAAAAGAAAGUGGUCCCAACCUUAUCAUUUUUGUUGUGCUACCUCUGCCAUCCUAAUUCAUGUUCCCCCAAAAUGAAUACUAAAAAAUUCAUGAAAAGUCAACAAAUCUGUAGGCAUUCAUAUCUAAAAUCUCUUUCAUAAAUUCUUUGCAAGUUGGCACAAUUCAACUUCUUACAUAGACCACAAAAAGAACACAACUAAGCCUAAAUCUAAAUCUAAU
RNAcentral lists this unclassified non-coding RNA (247 nucleotides) under Hevea brasiliensis (rubber tree). The record is from RNAcentral. Lineage: Eukaryota; Viridiplantae; Streptophyta; Magnoliopsida; Malpighiales; Euphorbiaceae.